CAUAUCACGUUUAAACACCGGUUCUGGUACGAUCACCGAAGUUAAGCAACAUCGAGCUUGGUCAAUACCGAGAUGGGUGACCGCUUGUGAAUCCAAUAUGUUGUA
Acanthosepion pharaonis is the source of this 105-nucleotide non-coding RNA. The record is from the annotation of a GenBank genome assembly. NCBI's taxonomy places the organism in Eukaryota, Metazoa, Mollusca, Cephalopoda, Sepiida, Sepiidae.